RNAcentral lists this ribosomal RNA (443 nucleotides) under uncultured bacterium. RNAcentral's name for it is "partial 16S ribosomal RNA". It matches the Rfam family "Bacterial small subunit ribosomal RNA", at positions 338 to 795 of the family's 1533-position model. The record is from RNAcentral.
CCUACGGGAGGCAGCAGUAGGGAAUAUUGGGCAAUGGGCGCAAGCCUGACCCAGCAACGCCGCGUGAAGGAAGAAGGCUUUCGGGUUGUAAACUUCUUUUGUCAGGGACGAAGCAAGUGACGGUACCUGACGAAUAAGCCACGGCUAUCUACGUGCCAGCAGCCGCGGUAAUACGUAGGAGGCAAGCGUUAUCCGGAUUUAUGGGGUGUAAAGGGCGUGUAGGCGGGAAUGCAAGUCAGAUGUGAAAACUAUGGGCUCAACCCAUAGCCUGCAUUUGAAACUGUAUUUCUUGAGUGCUGGAGAGGCAAUCGGAAUUCCGUGUGUAGCGGUGAAAUGCGUAGAUAUACGGAGGAACACCAGUGGCGAAGGCGGAUUGCUGGACAGUAACUGACGCUGAGGCGCGAAAGCGUGGGGAGCAAACAGGAUUAGAUACCCUUGUAGUC